AGUAGAGAUGGGGUUUCGCCAUGUUAUCCAGGCUGGUCUCGAACUCCUGAUCUCAGGUGAUCCAUCCACCUUGGCCUCCCAAAGUGCUGGGAUUACAGGCGUGAGCCACCAUGCCCGGCCUGCACAAUAUACUAGGCAAGUUUUGAAAAAGUUUAAUGGGGAAGUUUAGUCCAAAGCUAUGGCGAUCCAAACAAUGUGGUACCAGUGCUAGAAUGUGCAGGAAGAUCACAACCCAUAAUAAAGAGUUCACAGCACACUCAAGGCCAGGGUGCUUAUCCUGGCACCCAACAGAAGGGCUACUAGGUGUAUGGCAAAAAUGGGAUUUCAUAUAGAAUAAAGGACAGACUUCCCAAUAAACAGUGUUGGGGUAAUUUAGAAAAUACAUUCCAGAUAGAUCAGAGGUUUUUAAAAUUUUUUUUAGAGACAGGGUCUUGCUCUGUUCCCCAGGCUGGAGUGCACCGGUGCCAUCAAAGCUCACUGUAACCUCAAAUGCCUGGACUCAAGUGAUCCUUCCACCUUGGCGACCCAAAGUGUUGGGAUUACAGGCAAGAGCCAACACGCCCAGCCAGAUCACAGAUUUAACUGUUUAGAAAGAAAUAAUAAAGUUUAUGAAAUAAACCUCUUAGAAAUCAAUGAUACUGCUGAACACCUUAAAGGGUUACAUUUUAACCAAAAAAAUAUUUUUUUUAGCUCUCUGUCCCCAGGGUAACUCCAGUGUUAAAGAGGAAGCAGUACACACUCACACACUGUGGGUGGGAGUAUAAUUGGGUCUGUCUUUCUGGAAGGCAAUUUGAGGCAAUACAUAUUACAAGUCCUAAAAAUGUGCAUUCUUUUUUAUUGUUGCAACAGGAUAUGUUAUGCUGCAGUUAACCAAUUAACCCUGAAACCCCAGUGUUUAACACCUAAGGUUUAUUUUUUUUAUUCAUGCUACCCGUCCAUGCAGGGUGGCAGGUGAGGGUAACAUGAAGGGAGAAGGGGGCUGCUCCACGUAGUCACUCAGGGAUCCAGGCUUGACAGAGGCUCUGUCCCUGGGACAUCAGCAUUUGCUGAGGGAAGGGAAGGCAGACACUGCGGAACUGCUCAUGGGCAUUUCAGUGUCUGUCUGGAGCUUCAUGUGUCACCUGUGCUCACAUUUCAUUGGCCAGAAUUAGUCAUAGGACCCUGAAUGAGUACAAGGGGGAUGGAGGGUGAAGUCCUGUAUGCCUCAGAAGGAAAGGAGCCGCAGAUAGGGAGGCGCGUACUUUUGAGCCAGUGAUAACUUCAGAAAAUUACCCUAAGUCAAUAUUCUGAAAAGUUCGCAAGGAUGUUAGAAGAACUUCAUUAUGUCCUUGACUACAACAGUAAAAAAAUUGGAAACAACCUAAGUAUCCAAGGUACAACCUACAUAGAGGUUAAAAAUAAUGUAAUUACAUAUUUACUGAUAUAGAAAUCUAUUCACAAUAUAGCAUUAAAAGGGAUAAAAGUUAUAAAACAGUAUGUAUAAUAUGAUUAUAUUUCAUGGAAAAAGUAAUAAAACACACACAGAUGCAUAGAAAAAAGUCUGAAAAGAUAAAAACUGAAAUGUUAACAGUGGUUAUAAUCAGAUAGUGUAAUAACAGGUGAUUGGUUUUUUUCCCACUCAUCUGGAAUUUCUUUAAAAAAAGUAUUAUAUUAUUUAUGUACCAAGAAAGCAUUUAAAAAGGGAAACAAAAAACAGUACUCUUGGGAGAGUUCACUUAUCCACUCCACUCUUCUCAUUAAACUCUUAUAUUUGAUGCAAGGAAUGUCUUCUUGCCUGUCACAUCAUAAGACGCUGCUCUCACAACUGACGUAAAGUCGGGACUUCCUAUUAAAAGCAGUACAAGAGGGUAAAAACAAUAGCACAGCCUCACAGCUGUGAAUCAUCAGUCCUGCCCAUCACUCGCCAAAACAUGCACCACUUGGGACUCUGCCGUGGUUUACGGGCUCCUGCCAGGUGCCCUGGGGGUCUCUAGGGCCCAGGAGAACACUUUGCCGCAAGGCUCUGCACCGUCAAAGAGAGUAGGGCACUGAACAAUUCCACUUCAAACAAAAGAUCCACAAACUUCUGGUAAAUGGAUUCCAGAACAUAGAUCACCACCACCAGAAAUAGAAAAUAAAGUCUCCUCUUAGGUAUACAUAUUUUUAAUUAAAAACGCUUCCUUACUGUUUCUCCCACUUCCCCUUUUGCUGUUUCUUCACACACACACACACACACACACACACACACACACACACACACGCGUGCGCACAUACACAGUCGUAAGUUCACUAGAACAUUUCAUCCAGCUCAAAAUUCUUACCAAAGCCACCUUCCUGCCUGGGUAGUGUUUAAAGCCAACUAGAAAACCCAUAUUCUUGAGAUCGGUACAUGGAAGAGGCAUGUAAGUAACAUUUUCUAGACUAGACAGGAGUCCCUCUCCAUGCCAAAACCCCCAUCAUCUCCAGAAUAUAUACUGUUUCUUUGGGGAAGCCAUGUACUCAGAAAUUAGGGUCCUUUUAAAGCAUGCAUAUCUUUAAAAAUAUACAUGGACAUUGAUCUUGCAAGCUUCUAGUUUGCAAGUGCUUCAAAAUCUAGUGAUGUCUCAAGGCAAUGAAAGAAUUUAGCUUCUAGAAGGAUG
RNAcentral lists this long non-coding RNA (2618 nucleotides) under Homo sapiens (human). Its description in RNAcentral is "non-protein coding lnc-WHAMM-1:1". Lineage: Eukaryota; Metazoa; Chordata; Mammalia; Primates; Hominidae. The record is from RNAcentral.